This is a small nucleolar RNA of Meriones unguiculatus (Mongolian gerbil), 78 nucleotides long. The record is from Ensembl. Lineage: Eukaryota; Metazoa; Chordata; Mammalia; Rodentia; Muridae.
UGGACCAAUGAUGGGAAAAUGUCUAUAAACAAAGGAUCAUGAUUAAUUUGGUUUCUUUGUAAAAUGCAGAGGUCCAUU